This 388-nucleotide ribosomal RNA is filed under the name uncultured bacterium. RNAcentral describes it as "bacterial SSU rRNA". It matches the Rfam family "Bacterial small subunit ribosomal RNA", at positions 28 to 417 of the family's 1533-position model. The record is from RNAcentral.
GACGAACGCUGGCGGCGUGCUUAACACAUGCAAGUCGAGCGGUAAGGCCCUUUCGGGGGUACACGAGCGGCGAACGGGUGAGUAACACGUGGGUGACCUGCCCUCAGCCCUGGGAUAAGCCUGGGAAACCGGGUCUAAUACUGGAUAUGACUCCAUGACGCAUGUUGUGGGGUGGAAAGCCUUGUGCGGCUGAGGAUGGGCCCGNGGCCUAUCAGCUUGUUGGUGGGGUGAUGGCCUACCAAGGCGACGACGGGUAGCCGGCCUGAGAGGGCGACCGGCCACACUGGGACUGAGACACGGCCCAGACUCCUACGGGAGGCAGCAGUGGGGAAUCUUGCGCAAUGGGCGAAAGCCUGACGCAGCGACGCCGCGUGAGGGAUGACGGCCU